RNAcentral lists this ribosomal RNA (253 nucleotides) under uncultured bacterium. RNAcentral describes it as "partial 16S ribosomal RNA". It matches the Rfam family "Bacterial small subunit ribosomal RNA", at positions 524 to 776 of the family's 1533-position model. The record is from RNAcentral.
UACGUAGGGGGCUAGCGUUGUCCGGAAUCAUUGGGCGUAAAGAGCGCGUAGGCGGCCCGGUAAGUCCGCUGUGAAAGUCAAAGGCUCAACCUUUGAAUGUCAGCGGAUACUGCCGGGCUAGAGUCCGGAAGAGGCGAGUGGAACUCCUGGUGUAGCGGUGGAAUGCGCAGAUAUCAGGAAGAACACCAACGGCGAAGGCAGCUCGCUGGGACGGAACUGACGCUGAGGCGCGAAAGCGUGGGGAGCAAACAGG